This 376-nucleotide ribosomal RNA is filed under the name uncultured bacterium. RNAcentral describes it as "bacterial SSU rRNA". It matches the Rfam family "Bacterial small subunit ribosomal RNA", at positions 524 to 898 of the family's 1533-position model. The record is from RNAcentral.
UACAGAGGUCCCAAGCGUUGUUCGGAUUCACUGGGCGUAAAGGGUGCGUAGGUGGCGAAGUAAGUCGGAUGUGAAAUCUCCGAGCUCAACUCGGAAACUGCAUUGGAAACUACUUUGCUUGAGGGUUGGAGGGGGGACUGGAAUACUUGGUGUAGCAGUGAAAUGCGUAGAUAUCAAGUGGAACACCAGUGGCGAAGGCGAGUCCCUGGACAACUCCUGACACUGAGGCACGAAAGCUAGGGGAGCAAACAGGAUUAGAUACCCUGGUAGUCCUAGCCGUAAACGGUGCACGUUUGCUGUAAAAGGAAUCGACCCCUUUUGUGGCGAAGCUAACGCGUUAAACGUGCCGCCUGGGAAGUACGGUCGCAAGAUUAAA